AGAACGAACGCUGGCGGCGUGGAUAAGACAUGCAAGUCGAACGCGACUUAUCUGGUUAGCAAUAACUAGGUAAGUUGAGUGGCGAAAGGGUGCGUAACACGUGGGAAUUUACCAAGAAGUGGGGAAUAGCUCGACGAAAGUCGAAUUAAUACCGCAUAUGAUCGCAAGAUCAAAGCCGGGGACCGCAAGGCCUGGCGCUUUUUGAGAAGCCCGCGGCCCAUCAGCUAGUUGGCGGGGUAAUGGCCCACCAAGGCUAUGACGGGUAGCUGGUCUGAGAGGACGACCAGCCACACUGGAACUGAGACACGGUCCAGACACCUACGGGUGGCAGCAGUCGAGAAUUUUUUCACAAU
RNAcentral lists this ribosomal RNA (353 nucleotides) under uncultured bacterium. RNAcentral describes it as "SSU rRNA". It matches the Rfam family "Bacterial small subunit ribosomal RNA", at positions 26 to 372 of the family's 1533-position model. The record is from RNAcentral.